NUUAGGGUUAGGCUUAGGGUGAGGGUUAGGGUUACAGUUAGGGUUAGGGUUAGGGUGAGUGUUAGGGUGAGGGUUAGGGUUAGGGUUAGGGUUAGGGUUAGGGUUAGGUUUAGGAUUAUGGUUAUGGUUAGGGUUAGAGUUAGGGAUUGGGUUAGGGUGAGGGUUAGAGUUAGGUUAGGGUUAGGGUGAGGGUAAGGGUGAGGGUUAGGAUAAUCUUAAGAGAGACAACUUUGUUUUCUAAACCUUAACUCAUUCAAAUUCGACGGUGUGUUUUUCUGAAUAGAGGAGUAUGCUUAGUGAUCAAAGCUAAGAGUAACCCAUUCCCGAUAUAUAGAGUCUGGCCAUCACAAGUUCAAAAAUAAUGGGUUGGGCUUUACCUUCAAACAAUAUAAUAACUGCUCCAUAAUCUCUUUUUAGUUUAAAAAAGGAUAAAGAUAAUGACUUAAUGGACGAAUUUAUGUUCCUUA
RNAcentral lists this long non-coding RNA (467 nucleotides) under Vigna radiata. Its description in RNAcentral is "long non-coding RNA (VRAD_LNC005827)". Lineage: Eukaryota; Viridiplantae; Streptophyta; Magnoliopsida; Fabales; Fabaceae. The record is from RNAcentral.